AUCGCUUCUCGGCCUUUUGGCUAAGAUCAAGUGUAGUAUAAGGAUUUGUAUCUUAAUUUUAAUCAAUUAAUUAACUAAUUUUAAAUGCAGAGAUAUAGAGAAUGAACUCCCAUUCUGGUGAUUUACUUCCC
Small nuclear RNA from Oryctolagus cuniculus (rabbit), 131 nucleotides. Its record names the gene U2. It matches the Rfam family "U2 spliceosomal RNA". Rfam says of the family: U2 is a small nuclear RNA (snRNA) component of the spliceosome (involved in pre-mRNA splicing). Complementary binding between U2 snRNA (in an area lying towards the 5' end but 3' to hairpin I) and the branchpoint sequence (BPS) of the intron results the bulging out of an unpaired adenosine, on the BPS, which initiates a nucleophilic attack at the intronic 5' splice site, thus starting the first of two transesterification reactions that mediate splicing. The record is from Ensembl. NCBI's taxonomy places the organism in Eukaryota, Metazoa, Chordata, Mammalia, Lagomorpha, Leporidae.